CAGUCGCCGCGGGAAUACGGAGGGUGCAAGCGUUAAUCGGAAUUACUGGGCGUAAAGCGCACGCAGGCGGUUUGUUAAGUCAGAUGUGAAAUCCCCGAGCUUAACUUGGGAACUGCAUUUGAAACUGGCAAGCUAGAGUCUUGUAGAGGGGGGUAGAAUUCCAGGUGUAGCGGUGAAAUGCGUAGAGAUCUGGAGGAAUACCGGUGGCGAAGGCGGCCCCCUGGACAAAGACUGACGCUCAGGUGCGAAAGCGUGGGGAGCAAACAGGAUUAGAUACCCGGGUAGUCCCUGUCUCUUAUAC
Molecule: ribosomal RNA, 301 nt
Filed under: uncultured bacterium
Lineage: Bacteria
Description: partial 16S ribosomal RNA
Rfam family: Bacterial small subunit ribosomal RNA
Source: RNAcentral